GGGGGGGGGGGGGGGGGGGGGUGGGGGGGGGGGGGCGAGGGAGGCGGGCGGGGGUGGGGGGGCAGGGGUGCGUGCCGCGUGGGGGCCUGCCCUUAGGUUCGGAAGAACUCCCCGGAAGGGGUGCUAAUACCGGAUAAUGUCUUCGGACCAAAGAUUUAUCGCCUUUGGAUGGGCCCGCGUUGGAUUAGCUAGUUGGUAGGGUAAAAGCCUACCAAGGCGACGAUCCAUAGCUGGUCUGAGAGGAUGAUCAGCCACACUGGGACUGAGACACGGCCCAGACUCCUACGGGAGGCAGCAGUGGGGAAUAUUGGACAAUGGGCGAAAGCCUGAUCCAGCAAUGCCGCGUGAGUGAUGAAGGCCUUAGGGUUGUAAAGCUCUUUUACCCGGGAUGAUAAUGACAGUACCGGGAGAAUAAGCUCCGGCUAACUCCGUG
Molecule: ribosomal RNA, 433 nt
Filed under: uncultured bacterium
Lineage: Bacteria
Description: partial 16S ribosomal RNA
Rfam family: Bacterial small subunit ribosomal RNA
Source: RNAcentral